Molecule: ribosomal RNA, 710 nt
Filed under: Metaxonchium sp. 1 IVB-2018
Lineage: Eukaryota; Metazoa; Nematoda; Enoplea; Dorylaimida; Belondiridae
Description: LSU rRNA
Rfam family: Eukaryotic large subunit ribosomal RNA
Source: RNAcentral
GGCGUGAUACCGCUUAGAAUAAAACGGACGGAGCCAUCUGGAGCCAUCGGGAAUCAGUCGUAUGGUAUGUGAACGUACAUUGGUAUCGUAACGAAAGUACGACCAGUGUAUAUUAGUAGCAUCCGCUCGACGCAUUUCUCGAAGGUAAGCGCCGCGACCGAUACGAAAGGCCAGUGAAGCGAUUCGAUUGAGGUCGAGGCCCGCAAGGGUCUUGCUACCAGUCUUUUCGCGUGAGUCGCUGGACCGCAGUAUGUAUCGAGCGCCGGAAAUUAUAUACGUCGGCCAAAAAGCUCACUUGAGUAGCGUAUAGUUGGUUCAUUAGCUGGUACCUGCUCGCAGGUGCUGGCGACUCGGGUCGACUAGAAGUUACCAGUGACGUAGACGUAUUGGCGUCGGCGGCGUCAGAGUUGGCCACCCAUCCGACCCGUCUUGAAACACGGACCAAGGAGUCUAACAUAUGCGCGAGCUAAUGGGUGGAAAACCCAAAGGCGCAAUAAAAGUAAAGGCUGUUUCGGACAGCUAAGGUACGAUCCUGGAGUCCAGGCUCCAGGCGCAGUACCGUCCCGUCUCGACCGCAUAUCGGUAGGGCGGAGACAGAGUGCAUACGUUGGGACCCGAAAGAUGGUGAACUAUGCCUGAGCAGAGCGAAGCCAGAGGAAACUCUGGUGGAGGUUCGUAGCGGUUCUGACGUGCAAAUCGAUCGUCAGACU